CUGCCAGCAGUCAUAUGCUCGUCUCAAAGAUUAAGCCAUGCAUGUAUAAGUAUAACCUGUCAUAACGGGGAAACUGCGGAAGGCUCAUUAUAUCAAAUAUAAUUUAAACCCUUUUGAAAGGAUAGAUGGAUAACAAUGGGAAAGCUAUUGCUAAUACAUGACGAACGCGGGCGCGGCAGGAUCGCGCGGCGAGAUUUAUUAGCGGGAUCAACCAACGCAAUUGGUGAGUGAUGAUAACUUUUUAACCUUAAGCCCAUGCGGCGAAGGGGGAGGGAAGAAAUAUUUGCCCCAUCAACUCUGAUGAUUGGAUCGUGGCCAACCAUGGUGAUAACGGGUACGGAGAAUUAGGGUUCGAUACCGGAGAGGGAGCCUGAGAGAUGGCUACCACUUCUAAGGAAGGCAGCAGGCGCGUAAAUUACCCAAUGUUAACUCAGCGAGGUAGUGACAAAAUAUAUCAAUGUGGGUUCGAAAAGGAUUCAUAAUUGAAAUGAGAGAGAUUUAAAUCCCCCAUCGAGUAGCAAUUUGAGGGCAAGUCUGGUGCCAGCAGCCGCGGUAAUUCCAGCUCAAAUAGCGUAUCCUGAAUUUGCUGCAGUUGAAAAGCUCGUAGUCGGAAUUUUUCUCCGGCGGUUUAGCUAGCCGUAAGGUGUAGCUAGACGGGCGGAGAAAGAGUACACGUCGUGGGCGGAGGCACUUAACUGUGCGCCGAACGGGACGUGUUCAUUUACCUUGGCAACAAGUGGACUGUUCAAAGGAAACCAAUGGGUAGCGAACAAACUCCAUGGGAUAAUGGAAGAGGUGUUUUCCUCGUGUUUGUUGGUUGAGGGGGAAGACAAAUGAUAAAUAGGAAUAGUUGGGGGUAUUUGUAUUUAAUUGUCAGAGGUGAAAUUCUUAGAUUUAUUAAAGACAAACAACUGCGAAAGCAUUUACCAAGGAUGUUUUCAUUGAUCAAGAACGAAAGUUUGGGGAUCGAAGACGAUCAGAUACCGUCGUAGUCCAAACAGUAAACUAU
RNAcentral lists this ribosomal RNA (1009 nucleotides) under uncultured soil eukaryote. RNAcentral's name for it is "SSU rRNA". It matches the Rfam family "Eukaryotic small subunit ribosomal RNA", at positions 14 to 1040 of the family's 1831-position model. The record is from RNAcentral.